Molecule: unclassified non-coding RNA, 280 nt
Filed under: Hevea brasiliensis (rubber tree)
Lineage: Eukaryota; Viridiplantae; Streptophyta; Magnoliopsida; Malpighiales; Euphorbiaceae
Source: RNAcentral
GCCGCCUCGAAAUCGAGCUAGCUGAAGUUGAAAUGCCUGGUUUAAUGGCUUGUCGUACUGAAUUUGGUCCAUCACAGCCAUUCAAAGGUGCAAAAAUCACCGGAAGUCUACAUAUGACGAUCCAAACCGCUGUCUUAAUCGAAACCCUCACCGCAUUGGGUGCUGAAGUUCGAUGGUGUUCCUGCAACAUUUUCUCAACUCAAGAUCACGCGGCAGCUGCUACAGCGCGUGACAGCGCUGCAGUUUUCGCGUGGAAAGGGGAAACAUUGCAGGAGUAUUG